This 212-nucleotide long non-coding RNA is filed under the name Capsicum annuum. RNAcentral's name for it is "long non-coding RNA (CANN_LNC004814)". Lineage: Eukaryota; Viridiplantae; Streptophyta; Magnoliopsida; Solanales; Solanaceae. The record is from RNAcentral.
UUCCUUAUCUUUAUACUCUUCCACUAUUUCAAAUGACUCCAAAGACAUGUCAUCAUCUAAACAUAAUGUAGAAAAGUUCUUUGAAUGAUACCCAACCAAUCCCACAUCCAAAUUUACACCAUUCACAACACACUUACUCUUAUUCUCAUUCUCAAUGUCAGUCUCAAGAAAAAAAUGACAGUUGAAUGGCAAAAAUUCUUAUUCUGCUCCAU